AUGAUUCGUGGGACGUCCUGCCGGUGGUGGCGAGUCGAAGGCGUGCUCCCGUUGUGGUUCCCACUUCGGUUCUUGCGCGCACGAGGCGGACCCCGAUGAAAUCCUACCGCGGUGCUCUUCGCCGAGUGUCGAGGUGGGCCGGCACGUUUACUUUGAACAAAUUAGAGUGCUUAAAGCAGGCCUGUUGCGCCUGAAUACUGUGUGCAUGGAAUAAUGGAAUAGGACCUCGGUUCUAUUUUGUUGGUUUUCGGAACCCGAGGUAAUGAUUAAUAGGGACAGGCGGGGGCAUUCGUAUUGCGACGUUAGAGGUGAAAUUCUUGGAUCGUCGCAAGACGGACCGAAGCGAAAGCAUUUGCCAAGUAUGUUUUCAUUAAUCAAGAACGAAAGUUAGAGGUUCGAAGGCGAUCAGAUACCGCCCUAGUUCUAACCAUAAACGAUGCCAGCUAGCGAUCCGCCGAAGUUCCUCCGAUGACUCGGCGGGCAGCUCCCGGGAAACCAAAGCUUUUGGGUUCCGGGGGAAGUAUGGUUGCAAAGCUGAAACUUAAAGGAAUUGACGGAAGG
RNAcentral lists this ribosomal RNA (561 nucleotides) under Isophya taurica. Its description in RNAcentral is "SSU rRNA". It matches the Rfam family "Eukaryotic small subunit ribosomal RNA", at positions 720 to 1163 of the family's 1831-position model. The record is from RNAcentral. Lineage: Eukaryota; Metazoa; Arthropoda; Insecta; Orthoptera; Tettigoniidae.